Molecule: ribosomal RNA, 710 nt
Filed under: Klebsiella pneumoniae
Lineage: Bacteria; Pseudomonadati; Pseudomonadota; Gammaproteobacteria; Enterobacterales; Enterobacteriaceae
Description: bacterial SSU rRNA
Rfam family: Bacterial small subunit ribosomal RNA
Source: RNAcentral
UGCAGUCGAGCGGUAGCACAGAGAGCUUGCUCCUCGGGUGACGAGCGGCGGACGGGUGAGUAAUGUCUGGGAAACUGCCUGAUGGAGGGGGAUAACUACUGGAAACGGUAGCUAAUACCGCAUAACGUCGCAAGACCAAAGUGGGGGACCUUCGGGCCUCAUGCCAUCAGAUGUGCCCAGAUGGGAUUAGCUAGUAGGUGGGGUAACGGCUCACCUAGGCGACGAUCCCUAGCUGGUCUGAGAGGAUGACCAGCCACACUGGAACUGAGACACGGUCCAGACUCCUACGGGAGGCAGCAGUGGGGAAUAUUGCACAAUGGGCGCAAGCCUGAUGCAGCCAUGCCGCGUGUGUGAAGAAGGCCUUCGGGUUGUAAAGCACUUUCAGCGGGGAGGAAGGCGUUGAGGUUAAUAACCUUGUCGAUUGACGUUACCCGCAGAAGAAGCACCGGCUAACUCCGUGCCAGCAGCCGCGGUAAUACGGAGGGUGCAAGCGUUAAUCGGAAUUACUGGGCGUAAAGCGCACGCAGGCGGUCUGUCAAGUCGGAUGUGAAAUCCCCGGGCUCAACCUGGGAACUGCAUUCGAAACUGGCAGGCUAGAGUCUUGUAGAGGGGGGUAGAAUUCCAGGUGUAGCGGUGAAAUGCGUAGAGAUCUGGAGGAAUACCGGUGGCGAAGGCGGCCCCCUGGACAAAGACUGACGCUCAGGUGCGAA